UUUGCUAAUAAGACAAAAAUAGAAAGUCAUUUUCAUGAAGGAAACAUGAAAACACUGGGGAAAUAAGUGAUGCGAACAUUAUGCGUACACAGCAUCUCAUCUGGGUUUCCUGAUGAGGGAAUUUUAAAUUUUUAAAAGAAGCAAAUUUCACCUGGGCUGGAAUCAGGGUGAAGUCACCUCUUUCCUAUGUCAGUAUGUACUCAGACAGAGCAAGAAACGAUAUCUCCAAAUCUGAGCUCAAGUUCAGAAGGCUUCCG
Molecule: long non-coding RNA, 257 nt
Filed under: Equus caballus (horse)
Lineage: Eukaryota; Metazoa; Chordata; Mammalia; Perissodactyla; Equidae
Description: lncRNA (ENSECAG00000029298.2)
Source: RNAcentral